Molecule: ribosomal RNA, 253 nt
Filed under: uncultured bacterium
Lineage: Bacteria
Description: partial 16S ribosomal RNA
Rfam family: Bacterial small subunit ribosomal RNA
Source: RNAcentral
GACGUAGGGGGCCAGCGUUGUUCGGAAUUACUGGGUGUAAAGGGUUCGUAGGCGGUGUGGCAAGUCGGGGGUGAAAUCUCUGGGCUCAACCCAGAGUCUGCUUCCGAAACUGCUGUGCUUGAGUGUGGGAGAGGCGCGUGGAAUUGCAGGUGUAGCGGUGAAAUGCGUAGAUAUCUGCAGGAACACCCGUGGCGAAAGCGGCGCGCUGGACCACUACUGACGCUGAGGAACGAAAGCUAGGGGAGCAAACAGG